GAUGAACGCUGGCGGCGUGCCUAAUACAUGCAAGUCGAGCGAACAGACGAGGAGCUUGCUCCUCUGACGUUAGCGGCGGACGGGUGAGUAACACGUGGAUAACCUACCUAUAAGACUGGGAUAAUUUCGGGAAACCGGAGCUAAUACCGGAUAAUAUAUUUAACCGCAUGGUUCAAUAGUGAAAGACGGUUUUGCUGUCACUUAUAGAUGGAUCCGCGCCGCAUUAGCUAGUUGGUAAGGUAACGGCUUACCAAGGCAACGAUGCGUAGCCGACCUGAGAGGGUGAUCGGCCACACUGGAACUGAGACACGGUCCAGACUCCUACGGGAGGCAGCAGUAGGGAAUCUUCCGCAAUGGGCGAAAGCCUGACGGAGCAACGCCGCGUGAGUGAUGAAGGUCUUCGGAUCGUAAAACUCUGUUAUUAGGGAAGAACAAAUGUGUAAGUAACUAUGCACGUCUUGACGGUACCUAAUCAGAAAGCCACGGCUAACUACGUG
RNAcentral lists this ribosomal RNA (497 nucleotides) under uncultured bacterium. RNAcentral describes it as "partial 16S ribosomal RNA". It matches the Rfam family "Bacterial small subunit ribosomal RNA", at positions 28 to 507 of the family's 1533-position model. The record is from RNAcentral.